Molecule: ribosomal RNA, 2485 nt
Filed under: Algoriphagus sp. NF
Lineage: Bacteria; Pseudomonadati; Bacteroidota; Cytophagia; Cytophagales; Cyclobacteriaceae
Description: partial 23S ribosomal RNA
Rfam family: Bacterial large subunit ribosomal RNA
Source: RNAcentral
AGGCGGGUAUCCUGAGUAGGCCGGGACAGGAGAAAUCCCGGUUGAAUCUGCCGGCACCAUCCGGUAAGGCUAAAUACUCCUGAGAGACCGAUAGUGAACGAGUACCGUGAGGGAAAGGUGAAAAGUACCCUGAAUAAGGGGGUGAAAUAGAACCUGAAACCGUGCGCUUACAAGCGGUCGGAGCCCUUUAGUGGGGUGACGGCGUGCCUUUUGCAUAAUGAGCCUACGAGUUGCACCUCUUUGGCGAGGUUAAUUCCGUUGACGGGAGCAGCCGGAGCGAAAGCGAGUCUGAAAGGGCGUAUAGUCAGAGGGGGCAGACGCGAAACUUAGUGAUCUACCCAUGGCCAGGCUGAAGUUGUGGUAACACACAAUGGAGGGCCGCACCGAUAAGCGUUGAAAAGCUUCCGGAUGAGCUGUGGGUAGGGGUGAAAGGCCAAUCAAACUGAGAAAUAGCUCGUACUCCCCGAAAUGUUUUUAGGAACAGCGUCGUGGAUUGUAUGAUGGAGGUAGAGCUACCGAUAGGACUAGGGGGAGUCACAUCCUACCAAAUCCUGACGAACUCCGAAUGCCAUCAUAGAGAAACGGCAGUGAGGGCUGGGGUGCUAAGGUCCCAGUCCGAGAGGGAAAGAACCCGGACCUACCGCUAAGGUCCCGAAAUUUAGGUUAAGUUGAACAAAGGUGGUCCAGUUGCAGAGACAGCCAGGAGGUUAGCUUGGAAGCAGCUAUUCCUUUAAAGAGUGCGUAACAGCUCACUGGUCGAGCGACAGGGCGUCGAUAAUAAUCGGGCAUCAAACCUAAUACCGAAGCGUAGGAUUGGCAGUAAUGUCAGUGGUAGGGGAGCAUUCCAACGGCGGUGAAUGCACAUGGUGAUGUGUGCUGGAGCUUUUGGAAAAGCAAAUGUAGGCAUAAGUAACGAUAAUGGGGGCGAGAAACCCCCACACCGUAAGACCCAGGUUUCCUGAUCAACGCUAAUCGGAUCAGGGUUAGUCGGGUCCUAAGGCGCACCCGAGAGGGGCAGCCGAUGGCAAACGGGUUAAUAUUCCCGUACUGGACAUGCAGGUGAUGGAGUGACGGAGUGGUGAAAGGCCCGCCCGGUGACGGAAUACCGGGUUGAAGGGAGUAGGUAUUGGACCCAUAGUUAAAUGCGUGGGUUUAGCCGAACCUGACAGUACCGAGCGUCCUUGGACAAUCGGAUAGUGGCCCUAAAAGCUUCCAAGAAAAACUUCUGGCCUACCCGUACCGCAAACCGACACAGGUGGUCGAGGAGAGUAUCCUAAGGUGCUCGAGUGAAUCAUGGCUAAGGAACUCGGCAAAAUGGCCCUGUAACUUCGGGAGAAGGGGCGCCCCGCAGGAAUGCGGGGCCGCAGUGAAGAGGCCCAGGCGACUGUUUAACAAAAACACAUGGCUUUGCGAAGUUGAAAGACUAGGUAUAAGGCCUGACACCUGCCCGGUGCCGGAAGGUUAAGAGGGGAUGUUAUCGCAAGAGAAGCAUUGAAUCGAAGCCCCGGUAAACGGCGGCCGUAACUAUAACGGUCCUAAGGUAGCGAAAUUCCUUGUCGGGUAAGUUCCGACCUGCACGAAUGGUGUAACGAUCUGGGCACUGUCUCAGCCAUGAGCUCGGUGAAAUUGUAGUCGCGGUGAAGAUGCCGCGUACCCGCAACGGGACGGAAAGACCCCAUGAACCUUUACUGCAGCUUAGCAUUGGUACUGGGCAAACGAUGUGUAGGAUAGGUGGGAGACUGUGAAGCGGCGUCGCCAGGCGUUGUGGAGUCACCGUUGAAAUACCACCCUUUGUUUGUCUGGUAUCUAAUCCCGGUUCGGGAGACAUUGCUUGGUGGGUAGUUUGACUGGGGUGGUCGCCUCCAAAAGGAUAACGGAGGCUUCCAAAGGUUCCCUCAGCACGCUUGGUAACCGUGCGUGGAGUGCAAUAGCAUAAGGGAGCUUGACUGUAAGGCCGACAAGCCGAGCAGGGUGGAAACACGGGUAUAGUGAUCCGGCGGUACUGUAUGGAAGGGCCGUCGCUCAAAGGAUAAAAGGUACUCUGGGGAUAACAGGCUGAUCUCCCCCAAGAGCUCAUAUCGACGGGGAGGUUUGGCACCUCGAUGUCGGCUCGUCACAUCCUGGGGCUGGAGAAGGUCCCAAGGGUUGGGCUGUUCGCCCAUUAAAGUGGCACGCGAGCUGGGUUCAGAACGUCGUGAGACAGUUCGGUCCCUAUCUGUUGCGGGCGUGGGAAGUUUGCGAGGACCUGACCUUAGUACGAGAGGACCGGGUUGGACUGACCGCUGGUGUACCGGUUGUGGUGCCAACUGCACUGCCGGGUAGCUACGUCGGGAAGAGAUAAGCGCUGAAAGCAUCUAAGUGCGAAACUCCCCUCAAGAUGAGACUUCCGUAUAGGGCCCUCAGAGACGAUGAGGUUGAUAGGCUGCAGGUGUAAAGGCAGUGAUGUCAUAGCCGAGCAGUACUAAUUGCCCGAAAGCUUACCGAA